Molecule: ribosomal RNA, 960 nt
Filed under: Escherichia coli
Lineage: Bacteria; Pseudomonadati; Pseudomonadota; Gammaproteobacteria; Enterobacterales; Enterobacteriaceae
Description: partial 23S ribosomal RNA
Rfam family: Bacterial large subunit ribosomal RNA
Source: RNAcentral
CAUAGGUUAAUGAGGCGAACCGGGGGAACUGAAACAUCUAAGUACCCCGAGGAAAAGAAAUCAACCGAGAUUCCCCCAGUAGCGGCGAGCGAACGGGGAGCAGCCCAGAGCCUGAAUCAGUGUGUGUGUUAGUGGAAGCGUCUGGAAAGGCGCGCGAUACAGGGUGACAGCCCCGUACACAAAAAUGCACAUGCUGUGAGCUCGAUGAGUAGGGCGGGACACGUGGUAUCCUGUCUGAAUAUGGGGGGACCAUCCUCCAAGGCUAAAUACUCCUGACUGACCGAUAGUGAACCAGUACCGUGAGGGAAAGGCGAAAAGAACCCCGGCGAGGGGAGUGAAAAAGAACCUGAAACCGUGUACGUACAAGCAGUGGGAGCCUCUUUAUGGGGUGACUGCGUACCUUUUGUAUAAUGGGUCAGCGACUUAUAUUCUGUAGCAAGGUUAACCGAAUAGGGGAGCCGAAGGGAAACCGAGUCUUAACUGGGCGUUAAGUUGCAGGGUAUAGACCCGAAACCCGGUGAUCUAGCCAUGGGCAGGUUGAAGGUUGGGUAACACUAACUGGAGGACCGAACCGACUAAUGUUGAAAAAUUAGCGGAUGACUUGUGGCUGGGGGUGAAAGGCCAAUCAAACCGGGAGAUAGCUGGUUCUCCCCGAAAGCUAUUUAGGUAGCGCCUCGUGAAUUCAUCUCCGGGGGUAGAGCACUGUUUCGGCAAGGGGGUCAUCCCGACUUACCAACCCGAUGCAAACUGCGAAUACCGGAGAAUGUUAUCACGGGAGACACACGGCGGGUGCUAACGUCCGUCGUGAAGAGGGAAACAACCCAGACCGCCAGCUAAGGUCCCAAAGUCAUGGUUAAGUGGGAAACGAUGUGGGAAGGCCCAGACAGCCAGGAUGUUGGCUUAGAAGCAGCCAUCAUUUAAAGAAAGCGUAAUAGCUCACUGGUCGAGUCGGCCUGCGCG